Molecule: long non-coding RNA, 598 nt
Organism: Catharus ustulatus (Swainson's thrush)
Lineage: Eukaryota; Metazoa; Chordata; Aves; Passeriformes; Turdidae
Exons: 3
Source: RefSeq, a predicted model, not a curated record
GAAACUCAGCUUUUCACCUAAGGAAGGAACUGAUGUCACCACUGGAAAAUCUGUGACAGCUCUGGGCAGAUCUGUGAGCCUGUGGCCACAGCAGGGCACUCUGCAGCAAUCAGAGCCUUGCCAAUAAAAACAGGAGCUGAGCUGGUUUUGGAGUGGCUGUGACCUGGAUUUACUCCCCAAAAGAUUGCACAGGUGUGCCCAGCCACCGUCCCAGCCCUGCAGCAGGACUGCCCAGGAUCCCCUGUGCGUGCAGGACACAUCCCAGCGACGUCUCCAGAUCCCCAGGAGGGAUUCAUGUCCCUGUGCUGGCUGCUGUGCAGCAGGUUCUCACUCCUCCCCACGCUGACUAGCACAUCAAAGUCAAACGUGUUUGCAUGCAAGUGUCUGCAGUCACCCACAAAAUGUGUUCUCCCUGCCUGGUCCCUCCAAUUACACGACUGACUCUGGCUGGACUCAGCGGAGAUUGAUAGUGCUGGGAUCAGACUGCGGUCAGGGAAUUGGAAAUCUGAUUUGAGGUACAGGAGGAGCACAGAGGAGCCACCGAAACGUGCCCCAGCCUGAGCAGCCUGCCUGGAGCACAGCCACUGGUGCAGAUACC